This is a long non-coding RNA of Sphaeramia orbicularis (orbiculate cardinalfish), 410 nucleotides long. RefSeq lists it as uncharacterized. The transcript is spliced from 2 exons. NCBI's taxonomy places the organism in Eukaryota, Metazoa, Chordata, Actinopteri, Kurtiformes, Apogonidae. The record is from RefSeq and is a predicted model, not a curated record.
CCAGGAUCCAGGAUCUGUUAGUUCUAUUCAGCUAAGGGGUGGAAUCAUCAUGAAGGUGGUUUUCCAGGGUUUAGGACUCUGGAUAUGCGGAGUCAGUAUCAGACGACCAAUCACAAACAAGAUCAGGAAACAAGCAAUUUAAGAAGUUCAUGUAAGAGUUAAUAUUCUGAUCAGUAUCACAUUAAUAAGAUAGAAUGGGAUCUGACUAAUAAUUACAAUGAAACUUUAUGUAAUAGUGCCUUUAAGGCCGCUAUAGUCUUAUAUUAUAAAGCAGGGGUGUCAAACAUAUGGUCCGCGGGCCAAAUCUGGCCCAUCAAAGUGCCUAAUCCGGCCCUUUAGUGCAAAACUUACACUGAAGAUAAUUACAGCCAAGGGGGUCAAAACUCCAAAGUUUGUUUUGGGUUUAAUGU